UACGAAGGGGGCUAGCGUUGUUCGGAAUUACUGGGCGUAAAGCGCACGUAGGCGGAUAUUUAAGUCAGGGGUGAAAUCCCGCAGCUCAACUGCGGAACUGCCUUUGAUACUGGGUAUCUUGAGUAUGGAAGAGGUAAGUGGAAUUCCGAGUGUAGAGGUGAAAUUCGUAGAUAUUCGGAGGAACACCAGUGGCGAAGGCGGCUUACUGGUCAAUUACUGACGCUGAGGUGAGAAAGCGUGGGGAGCAAACAGG
Molecule: ribosomal RNA, 253 nt
Filed under: uncultured bacterium
Lineage: Bacteria
Description: partial 16S ribosomal RNA
Rfam family: Bacterial small subunit ribosomal RNA
Source: RNAcentral